Molecule: long non-coding RNA, 1575 nt
Organism: Musa acuminata AAA Group (dessert banana)
Lineage: Eukaryota; Viridiplantae; Streptophyta; Magnoliopsida; Zingiberales; Musaceae
Exons: 2
Source: RefSeq, a predicted model, not a curated record
AUUUUCGAGAGCAAUCCAGUAAGCACGAGAUGUUUGACCCAUAUUUUCUUUGUUAUAAUCUAUUGUUCUUUACCAACAAAAAGUUGACACAUAUUUGUCUUUGUGAAUGACUAAAUCAACAGCUUGAGGUAGAAGAAGGUGGAAGAAUGGCGAUGGGAGGAUGUCAUAGCUGUUGUAUGCGGAGGAACCUUAAUUGAAUAAGAUGGGAUGUGUCCCAUCCCCAAUCUUAAUUUCCAUGUCAUAACUUACUUGAGACAGAUCAAGUCGGCUAGCUUUGCAUUUAAUUUCCAGAUCUUGAAUCGUACCAAGAAACGUGUCUAUUACUCAAUUAUUUAUCAUCAAGAGGAUUGAUUAAUGUGUUGUUCAUGUAGCAGCGUUGGUGUGUGUUCAAUACAGAGAAAAGAGAUCAUCUUGGGUUUGUACUCGAAGCAAGGAACCAGGAUAUCAGAAGACAAUAGAAAAUGAGAUAUGUUAGAGAAGACAAGAUCUUCAAAGUGUGAUCUCUUGGAUUAAAGUCAGCCUUGCAUGGGAAAACCAGAUCUGUGCAAAGCUUAUCAAGUGCAGAAAGCUACAAAAUUCUCCAAGAGCACAGAAUUUUAAGCAACCCCACACCAAUCUGCAGGAGGAAGUCCAAACUUGAUUGCUUGGGAUAGAAUAAGGUGCAGUGUAUCCAACGCAUGGCUUAUUUAGCUCAGGAAGACAACAGAGUCAUGAUGAACGAGACAACCUCUUCCAUAUCAUGAUCGAAGUCCCCUUUUCCAUCCUAGUGUCGAGAGAUCAUGAGAGGUAGCAAUUGAACUCUUGUUCCUUUUUCUUUGGUCAAGCCACCCAUGAACCCUGAUCUCUAUAGGAUAUGAAGCCCAAGUUGUGUUUCUUUAACUCCUCUUUCUUGGUUCAAGGCUGAGACACUCGAGGCUUUCUUCCCAGAUCGAUCUCAGGCAAGUCCUUGGCGAUCGAGAGCGAGAGGCUGUUGUUUCCUGGAGACUUGGAUGAAUCUUGACGUCUUGACGGGAAAGCUAGCUGUGGUAUGGACAGAGGAGGUAGGAGACAGAGGCGGUUGCGCUCACAAGUGAAUGGCAACAAGGCAUUGGAUUCGAGCUACUUCACUGCGGAAUUCUUCUUGGUGCUCGUCUGCCUCACUGCCUCACUGCUGGUUCUUCCCCUCGUGUUGCCCGCACUGCCUCCUCCCCCUUCCUCGCUGCUGUUUGUGCCGAUAGGUAUACUUCUUGUGCUGCUGGUCUUGGCCUUCAUGCCCUCCGAUGCUCGGGACAUCGCCUCUUCCCACUUGUGAGCAGCUAAAAGCUUUCCAUUAUGGAUCAAACUGUUCAUUUCUUCUUCUACUCCUCGGUUUCAAUGAAGGCACUAUCGCUUCCGGUGGUUGUUUGAGAUAGUUCAUUCCUGAAUCAUUCGGAUGUGGUUUGGCCAUGAGUUGUAAUCUAAGCUAACCAUAACAUUCUUGUGAGGCAUGCGCAAUCAAAGUGACAAAUUCUGAGAGAACUCAUCAGCAAAUCUUACCGUGAUGUGAUGAUUGAUGUUCAUGGCCACUUAAAAAUAAGCUCUAAAAUUUAUUCUUCA